Molecule: small nuclear RNA, 23 nt
Filed under: Arabidopsis thaliana (thale cress)
Lineage: Eukaryota; Viridiplantae; Streptophyta; Magnoliopsida; Brassicales; Brassicaceae
Description: snRNA_06120
Source: RNAcentral
UGAUUCUCUAUCAAUUACAAGAU